GAUGAAGAACGUAGCGAAAUGCGAUAAGUAAUGUGAAUUGCAGAAUUCAGUGAAUCAUCGAAUCUUUGAACGCACAUUGCGCCCGCCAGUAUUCUGGCGGGCAUGCCUGUUCGAGCGCCAUUUCAACCAUCAAGCCCCCCGGCUUGUGUUGGGGACCUGCGGCUGCCGCAGGCCCUGAAAAGCAGUGGCGGGCUAGCUGUCACACCGAGCGUAGUAGAUCUCAUCUCGCUCAGGGCGUGCUGCGGGUUCCGGCCGUUAAACCACCUUCAUAACCCAAGGUUGACCUCGGAUCAGGUAGGAAGACCCGCUGAACUUAAGCAUAUCAAUAAGCGGAGGA
Molecule: unclassified non-coding RNA, 337 nt
Filed under: soil metagenome
Description: partial contains 5.8S ribosomal RNA, internal transcribed spacer 2, and large subunit ribosomal RNA
Rfam family: 5.8S ribosomal RNA (bases 1-120)
Source: RNAcentral